This 244-nucleotide long non-coding RNA is filed under the name Olea europaea (common olive). Its description in RNAcentral is "long non-coding RNA (OEUR_LNC004014)". Lineage: Eukaryota; Viridiplantae; Streptophyta; Magnoliopsida; Lamiales; Oleaceae. The record is from RNAcentral.
UCCUUGAUGGUUGUGAAUCUGUUUUGGGUGCUGCUUUGCUAGCACUUUCUUCUUUCCCUUUCUGCCACUUAUUCCUACCUUUAGGUACAGCUUUAUCACCUUUGUUGUUGUUGUUCCACCCUGGCUUCCAAGAUGGAUUAACACUCGAAGUUCCUAACGGUUGCCUAGCUGCCCCUUUCCUCUUCAGCUGUCUCUCUACCUUCAUAGCCACAUGCAAAAUAUCUUCCAACUCCACAUAAUGUUG